AGUGAACGCUGGCGGCAGGCCUAACACAUGCAAGUCGAGCGGCAGCGCGGGGGCAACCCUGGCGGCGAGCGGCGGACGGGUGAGGAAUUCGUCGGAAUCUGCCUUUUUGUGGGGGAUAACGUAGGGAAACUUACGCUAAUACCGCAUACGUCCUACGGGAGAAAGUGGGGGACCGCAAGGCCUCACGCAGAAAGAUGAGCCGACGACCGAUUAGCUAGUUGGUGGGGUAAAGGCCCACCAAGGCGACGAUCGGUAGCUGGUCUGAGGGGAUGAUCAGCCACCCCGGGACCGGGACCCCGGCCAAGCUCCCACGGGGGGGCGCAGGGGGGAAUUUUUGGCAAUGGGGGGAAGCCUUGACCCAGCCAGGCGGGUGGUGUGAAAAGGGCCUUCGGGUGUAAAAGCCCUUUUGUCGGGAAAAACACCCCUGGAGCUAAUUCCUUCGGGGGUGACGGUUACCGGAAAAAAAGCCCCCGCUUACCUUGUG
RNAcentral lists this ribosomal RNA (484 nucleotides) under uncultured bacterium. RNAcentral's name for it is "partial 16S ribosomal RNA". It matches the Rfam family "Bacterial small subunit ribosomal RNA", at positions 30 to 507 of the family's 1533-position model. The record is from RNAcentral.